GUCUAUGGCCAUGUCACCCUGAACAAGCCCGAUGUGUGAUCUCAGAAGCUAAGCAGGGUUGGGGCUGGUUAGUACUUGGAUGGGAGACCACCUAGGAAGACCAGAUGCUCAGUAGACA
This 118-nucleotide ribosomal RNA is filed under the name Pteropus alecto (black flying fox). Lineage: Eukaryota; Metazoa; Chordata; Mammalia; Chiroptera; Pteropodidae. The record is from RNAcentral.